RNAcentral lists this long non-coding RNA (2401 nucleotides) under Homo sapiens (human). RNAcentral's name for it is "HSALNT0069501". The record is from RNAcentral. Lineage: Eukaryota; Metazoa; Chordata; Mammalia; Primates; Hominidae.
CUGAGCCCAUCCCCUCACUCCUGGCUUUCUGUGCCAGCCUUUGGACUUACCUUCUGCUUGUAGAACUGCCUUGGCAUUCUUAUCUCAAGCCUGGCUAGAAGCUCUGAGCCUUAUGGUUACAAACAUGCAAGAAAUCAAACAUCACAGUCUACACUGCUCCUUUCAAAGGUCGUUAACAUCUAUGCACCAAUGGAAAAGGGGUUGUCUGAGACAUCAGAGCACUUCAGGGUCAAGGACUGAGUCCCUACAAUCAAGGCAGGGUCGAGUAUCGUGGAGACAGCUGGUGCCUCUAGUGAGUGGUUGCCCAGGUUACAGUUCAUAGGUCACUGGAUCAAGAGACAGCCACACCCAGAGUUACGCAGCGAACUCCACAUGCCCCAGAAGUCCAGAUUACCUUGGAGGCAUCAUGUAUGGAAUUCCUCCAGUGAAAACUGAGGCCUCAUGUCUCUGUGGUACCUCUUCCUUAUCUCACCCAUGCACCUUCCCUGAGAUCUCCAUCCCCUAGAUGGAAAACAGAGCUAUGAAAACAGAGCCCUGAAAGAGACCAGCAAAGAUGGAAACUUAAUAUUUAACAAACCUGGUUUUGUGGCUAGUACAGCAAGGAUAAGCCAUUCAAUAAAUUCCACAGAGAUAAUUGGUUAUCUGUAAGUGAAAAUAAAAUAAAAUUGGAUCCCUACCUCACACUGCACACAAGAAUCCAUUCCAGAAGGGUUAGAGCAUUAAUGUGAGAAACAAAACUUUAAACUAUUAGAAGAAAACAUAGAAACAUAGGAGAAUGUGCCCAAAAUUAAGGGUGACAAAAAUACACUUGACUUCCAGAGAGAGAAGGCAUCUCAUCUGAAAUACUACACAUACCACAAAGUUGACUGUGCCCAGGACCCCCUCCUCUUCUUUGCUCUCCUACCCUUAUUCUCACAGCUCAGGUUGUAUGAUGUUGUGGGGGUGGUGACAGUGAGAGUAAUUUUGCUAACAGUUAGAAAAUUUGGGGGCUGGCUGAUUAGAAUGUGGGCUAGGAGAGAUCCUUUGUCCUCAGCUUUGGACCUUCAUCACCAAUUUCAAGUUCCAGGAACAGUUCCACUUCACAUCCUGUUACAUUGCCAUUAAAUGGGAAGAUGACUCCCUUGGAAAUGUGUCCAGGGAGUAUGCAAAGGAUCACUGUGCCAUUCUCACACCUCAGGUCUUUAGAAUAACUUGUUUCAUUUGUUUGCUUCUAUAAGGUUUUUAUGUCUUUUGAGGGGCAACAGAGGAUUAGAUUAUAGAUUUUUGUACUACUGAUUUAAAUUUUUGAACCAAUAUAGAUAUAAAUACAUGUUUUCAUUUUAACUGAUUUUUAACUUAUUUUACAUUGUGGUCACAGCAUGUAGUUUCUAUGACACCAAUUAUUUGCCAUUGUUUGAGACUUGCUAGAUGGCUUAGCAUGCAGUCAGUUUCAUAAAUAUGCUAUGUCUUCUUGAGCAAAAGUAUAUUCACUUAAUGUUGGCACAGGGUUCAUUAUAUAUCUAUUAAAUCUGUUUAAUUGCAUUGCUCAAGAGUUCUAGUUUUUUAUGAUAUUUUCUGGUUUGGUUUGUCAGCUACUGAGAUAGAUAAGUUUCAAUCUCAUUGUAUGGGUGGUAGAUUUGUCAUUUCUCCUCACAGUUGUUUUUCUCAUUUUUUGCUGUAGUAUUAUGAGCAUAAAUGUUUAGAAUUAUUAUAUCUUCCAAGUGAUUACAACCUUUGACUAUUAAAUAAUAACUCUUUUCAUCUCUGGAAGAUUUUUCCCCUCCUUGGUCUAUUUCCUCUGAUAUUAAUACAGCUAGGACAGUUUGUUUUUGAAUUGUAUUUACCUGGUAGGUUUUUCCAUCCAUUAACCCUCAAACUUUAUGCUUUCUUUUCUUUUAACUAUGUCUUCUGUAAGAUACGAUUUUAAUCUUUACCCAUUCUAUCUAUUUCUGGAAGAUUUGUGUCUUAUAUAUUGCGAUUAUGAUCUCUCAGGGGUUGUUUCUUUCAUACUAUUUACAGCUUUACAGCCAGGCACAGGAAGACAAACAUCGCAUGUUCUCACUUAUUUGUGGGAUCUAGAAAUCAGAACAAUUCAACUCAUGGACAUAGAGAGUAGAAGGAGGGCCAGAGGCUGGGAAGGGUAGUAGGGGUUUUGGGAGUAGAUGGGGAUAGUUAAUGGAUACCAAAAAAGAGAAUGAAUAAGGCCUACUGUUUCAUAGCACAAUAGGGUGACUAUAGUCAAUAAUAACUUAAUUAUAUAUUUUAAAAUUAAUACUGUAAUUGGAUUGUAACUCAAAGGAUAAAUGCUUGAGGAGAUGGAUACCCCAUUCUCCAUGAUGUGCUUAUUUCAUUAUUUCACCUUGCAUACUUGCACCAAAAUAUCUCAUGUACCCCACAAAUACAUACACCUACUAUGUACCCA